CCUACGGGAGGCAGCAGUGGGGAAUAUUGGGCAAUGGAGGAAACUCUGACCCAGCGACGCCGCGUGCGGGAUGGAGGCCUUCGGGUUGUAAACCGCUUUCAGUAGGGAAGAAGCGAAAGUGACGGUACCUACAAAAGAAGCACCGGCUAACUAUGUGCCAGCAGCCGCGGUAAUACAUAGGGUGCAAGCGUUGUCCGGAAUUAUUGGGCGUAAAGAGCUCGUAGGUCGUUUGUUACGUCGGAUGUGAAAACCUGAGGCUCAACCUCAGGCCUGCAUUCGAUACGGGCAAACUAGAGUUUGGUAGGGGAGACUGGAAUUCCUGGUGUAGCGGUGGAAUGCGCAGAUAUCAGGAGGAACACCAAUGGCGAAGGCAGGUCUCUGGGCCAAUACUGACACUGAGGAGCGAAAGUCUGGGGAGCGAACAGGAUUAGAUACCCUGGUAGUCCAGACCGUAAACGGUGGGCACUAGUUGUGGGAACCUUCCACGGUUUCUGCGACGGCNGCUACGACAUAGUAGUCCCGCCGUCGGGAGGUACGUAGUCGCGAAGAAGUUAAAACGUUAAAAGGUAAAGUUAGUACGGUCGUGUAGAGUUGUCCGACGGACGACGACGAGGGAGGAGG
This 621-nucleotide ribosomal RNA is filed under the name uncultured bacterium. RNAcentral describes it as "bacterial SSU rRNA". The stretch from base 1 to 524 matches the Rfam family "Bacterial small subunit ribosomal RNA", at positions 338 to 873 of the family's 1533-position model. The record is from RNAcentral.